AUUUGGGCAGGGUGAGAGGGCUCGAGUAGGAAAGGGCUACCCGUGGAUGGAGUCGAGAACUCAUCACGGCGUGGAGCCACCACUGAGUUAAACCUCACAUGCAUUAUGCUAGGGUUCGAUCUGGGUUAUGUCGGGCCUUGACGAGGACGUCAAGCUAAUUGAGUUGGGGAUACUGUAACAUCCCAUUAGUCCCACAUCGGAAGUGGGCAAUGUGCAUGAUUAGCUUAUAUGGGCCUGAUGAGUGUACUACGUUAACUCCCGCUUAAGCAUUUUGGUCCGUGGUUGAAGGACCAAAAUGGAGUUAUUGGCCAGUUGGCUCAUCAGACUCGGGUCGUGACAGAGGGGCACGGCUCAGGCGGGCAGGCCACGCAGAGGUGGACUCGGGCAGACUGCGGUCGAGGGGCACGGCUCAGGCGAGCAAACUGCGCAGAGGUGGACUCGGGCAGACUGCGGUCGAGGGGCACGGCUCAGGCGAGCAAACUGCGCAGAGGUGGACUCGGGCAGACUACGACCGAGGGGUGCAGCUCAGGCGGGCAGGUCGUUGAGUCACUGGUUAACGAAGCGCAGCUGGGCUCGCAGGGACCCCGUUGAAUCUGAAGAUAACACCUCGGGCUCCGGGCGGGCUCUCAGGUUUCUCAUUGCUCGAUCCUUGAGCGGGGCCGAUCGGACCCGAAGCGACGCGGGGAGCUCCGGAGAUAUCGUGUGAGCCCGAACGGGCGACUCUUGUUGUCGUAGUGGUAGGAUCGUUGGUGGGUGCGCCGGAUGAGAAAUGAGCGGGAUAAUGGUCUGCACCAUCCCAGUCAGAGCUCGGACUUAAUGAGCGAGGUAUUGAAAGGCCUCGGGCGACGGGUCGGUUGGGGCGCCUUCGGGCGGCGACAAGCCCGAGUCGUUGAAUAACCGCCAAUAGCGCUCUGAGGUUGCAGCGGGGUGCUCAGUUCGAGGUUCACCAUGCGGGGGGCGUUCCCCUGGAGCCCCGAUCAGGUGCGACCCCUCAGCUGUGGGUUCGUCUGGGUCAAUCUAUCGAUCCCUCGACAUUCGGGCCCCCCUUCUAGCGCUAAACUGUUAGUGUCAACAUCUUUACGCCGUGGCCUCGGGGCCAAUACGGUUGGGUUCGGGUCCGAAAGAUUGGAGAUCUUCCUGAACGACCCUUGAGACUGUUGAGGUAGCCGACCGUAGUGGUCCGAUCGCGACGGGGUCACUGUUUUCUCCAGGAGGGGACCCCUCGCCUGGGCCUUCGGUGGGAGGCACUCUGUCUUCGUCCUUGCACACAAGUCGGGUCGAGAGAGCUCGACCCGACCCCUCCGACGAUCAAGUCAGUCGAUAGUCUCAGGGGGUUUUUCUUUUUUUUUCUCCCUCCCUCUUCGUUCCGAUCGCGAGGGUUUUUAUAGGGAAGGUCACCGUUUCCUGAUGUGCCUACUUGUAGGGAGCAAGGUCGUACCUUGGAUAAUGUUUGACACCGGCAUUGGCGUUGCAUGAAGGACCGGGCUCCUGCAGGAUGGUGACGUGCCUCGGUCGGCAUUUUGGUCUGCUUCGGCCAGGCGCUGUCAUGUCAGACCCCGCAACUCCUCGGUCUGUGUGACCUAGGAGACGUCACCCGGGAGCAGAUGACGUUAGUUCGUGUCCCAUCAUUAUUAUUACCCUCAUCAGAGGGCACCUUAAAUCUGACUAUCUUCCUAUUUGGACUCAUUUAAACCCAAUUAAAGUGUGUAUUGGUUAGAAACCUGAUACUAAAAAAAAAUCUAACCUGCUACUGACAGUUAAUAGGGUAAUAGGAUUGCAUACAGUAGCAUGCUAGAGUUCUUUAAACUUUUUUCCGUAGAAACGAAAGCUGCUGACAGUUAAUUUCUUCGUGUAAGAAAAGAUGGGGAGCCUGUGGGAAUGAGCCGAAAUUACAAAUUUACUGAACAUUUUAGCAAGCUCAAACUUUUAUUAGAAGGCAUUUUGCUAAAUCAAUGUGUUUUUUUGUUUGUGUAGGAUAAUUUCUUUGCCCCUUGUAUUGUUUUCUAUUAUAUUUGUCGGGACAUAAAGAUGCUAAUAACUUGACUAAAAAUAGAAUUAUGUUCAUGUUUUUAAUUUGGGACUUGCAUAUUAGUUAAAGAUGGGUUUGAAAAGUAUUGAGCUCAAGUCAUUCUAGUAAAGUUUUACGACUACUAUUUGAAAUUUUUCGUAAAAUAUAGAUCAACUCGAGGUUGACAUGUUGGUAUUUAGUGCAUGAAUUUAGAAUAAGCUACAAUGUGGUCGAUCUGAAGGUUGCUCUGAUUGUCAUUGAGUUGAAUAUUGCUAUAACUAUUCUAUUUUGCAUUUCUUCUUCUCCAAUGCUUGUUUUUUUCUACAUUCCAGAUCUCUUGCACAUUCAUGAACUUGGUCAGUCAUCUCUUUUAGAAAUUCCUAGUGACGAAUGAAACUUCAUAUUCUCUUACAAACAUGAAAUGAGUAAAGCUAAAUAUUUUCUAUAGUUUGUGCUACUCAGCCCUUCAGUUGAAUCAAAAUUUGAUGACUUAUUCAGUGCCCAGAUUUUUUUCAAACUGGUAGACCUUUGUUGAAUCCAAUUUUAUUUUAUUCAGUGACCAAGUUCCUCUGCACGUACAUGACCUUUUUGUACUUGCUAUUUGAAUGUCUGGCUCGCUAGCCCACCUGCUUCCUGCCGUAUUGCAUAUGUGGAUAUCACAUGAUCCCUCAAGUCCUACAUGUUAACUAUGGCUUAUGAAAUUCAAUGGGCAUAUUGUCAAGUUCGUUCUAGUAUGAUAGGUAGGAUUCACAUUUUUCUUCUAUAUCACUUGAAUGGAUGAGCUUGACUUCUGAAGCAUAUAAUGUCUGUCUAACCUACUGUAAAGACAUCCAGUACCAUUAAGCUAUUGAAAGUCAUGAAUUUCACUUUAAAUAUGUGAUUUUUGGUUCUUUUAUUAGUCACUGUUUGCUUACCUAUACAUUCUUCCAGAUUGUGUUGCAUAUAUGGAGGAUAACAUGUUCAUUUAAACCUUAUGUAUUAAUUUACCUAAAAAUGCACUCGAAAUAUUGAUUUCAGGCGAACUACUAGCAAGUUCCAAAUCUGCCUUUGUUUUUGACUUUUUAGCUUUACACUUGCAUUCCUGUGGGCUUUGUGCUAGUGAAAGGAGUAUCUCAUCAUUAUGAAGCAAUCUGACUUGUCGAGACAAAUCAUAUAAUAUAAGAAAUGUAUCCAUGUUUUGAGUUUUUCAAGAGACGAAUCCUUUUGCCUAGUACUUUAGUAUUCAUAUUGUUGUUGGGCAUUACACUGGCCAGUUUUUGGCCUGUUCUUGCGUUGCGCGGUGACCGUCGAGAGCGGAGCAAAACGUCAGCCAUCUCAGCACCCUGGAACCCCCCGGGUGGCACAGGGCUGGAUGGGGCUUUCGUAUAGCAGGGACGGUGCUGCCUCUCGCUUCGCUCGCUGUUCGCCGCUCGCCGCUCGCUCGCGCAGCCAAAAAUGGCCAGUUUUGGCCCGUUUUUGGGCUGUUUUGUUUUUCAGUUUGAUCCUGA
Molecule: long non-coding RNA, 3495 nt
Filed under: Musa acuminata (dwarf banana)
Lineage: Eukaryota; Viridiplantae; Streptophyta; Magnoliopsida; Zingiberales; Musaceae
Description: long non-coding RNA (MACU_LNC003886)
Source: RNAcentral